Molecule: ribosomal RNA, 490 nt
Filed under: uncultured bacterium
Lineage: Bacteria
Description: partial 16S ribosomal RNA
Rfam family: Bacterial small subunit ribosomal RNA
Source: RNAcentral
AUUGAACGCUGGCGGCAGGCCUAACACAUGCAAGUCGAACGGUAACAGGAAACAGCUUGCUGUUUCGCUGACGAGUGGCGGACGGGUGAGUAAUGUCUGGGAAACUGCCUGAUGGAGGGGGAUAACUACUGGAAACGGUAGCUAAUACCGCAUAACGUCGCAAGACCAAAGAGGGGGACCUUCGGGCCUCUUGCCAUCGGAUGUGCCCAGAUGGGAUUAGCUUGUUGGUGGGGUAACGGCUCACCAAGGCGACGAUCCCUAGCUGGUCUCAGAGGAUGACCAGCCACACUGGAACUGAGACACGGUCCAGACUCCUACGGGAGGCAGCAGUGGGGAAUAUUGCACAAUGGGCGCAAGCCUGAUGCAGCCAUGCCGCGUGUAUGAAGAAGGCCUUCGGGUUGUAAAGUACUUUCAGCGGGGAGGAAGGGAGUAAAGUUAAUACCUUUGCUCAUUGACGUUACCCGCAGAAGAAGCACCGGCUAACUCCGUG